GACGAACGCUGGCGGCGUGCUUAACACAUGCAAGUCGAACGGUGAAGCCCUGCUUGCUGGGUGUGCUAGUGGGGCAAGGGGGAGAAACACGUGAGCAUCGUGCGCGCUUCUCUUGAGUAUAUACCGGGAACGGUGGGUAAUACUGGGGAUGUGCGCGGGAGGCGCCUCCUGGGGUUUGGAAAGUUUCGUCGGUUCGGGAUGGACUCGCGGCUUAUCAGCUUGUUGGUGGGGUAGUGGCUUACCAAGGCAUUGACGGGUAGCCGGCCUGAGAGGGUGACCGGCCACACUGGGACUGAGACACGGCCCAGACUCCUACGGGAGGCAGCAGUGGGGAAUAUUGCACAAUGGGCGGAAGCCUGAUGCAGCAACGCCGCGUGCGGGAUGACGGCCUUCGGGUUGUAAACCGCUUUCGCUUGUGACGAAGCGUGAGUGACGGUAACGGGUAAAGAAGCACCGGCUAACUACGUG
This 468-nucleotide ribosomal RNA is filed under the name uncultured bacterium. RNAcentral describes it as "partial 16S ribosomal RNA". It matches the Rfam family "Bacterial small subunit ribosomal RNA", at positions 28 to 507 of the family's 1533-position model. The record is from RNAcentral.